Molecule: non-coding RNA, 168 nt
Filed under: Actinomycetota bacterium
Lineage: Bacteria; Bacillati; Actinomycetota
Description: Actinobacteria bacterium 6S RNA
Rfam family: 6S / SsrS RNA
About the family: E. coli 6S RNA was the first non coding RNA to be sequenced, but its function was unknown until recently.
Source: RNAcentral
UGUGCUCGACCUUGUGCGUGAUCUGCUCUCAUCUUGAGCCAACACACCAUGAUCGGGAGGCAGGUUUGUCCGGUCGGCGUACACCUUGCGGGGUGUGUCCUCCGGGGGCUGCCACCCACCUGCUUCGGCAGGUUCAAGAUCACACAGACACGGCAAGGUGGAGCAUUU